Pelobates cultripes (western spadefoot toad) is the source of this 257-nucleotide non-coding RNA. The record is from the annotation of a GenBank genome assembly. Lineage: Eukaryota; Metazoa; Chordata; Amphibia; Anura; Pelobatidae.
UGUGUGUGUGUGCGCUGGAUGAUGUGUGUGUGUCGCUGGAUGAUGAUGUGUGUGUGUGUGUGCUGGAUGAUGUGUGUGUGUGCUGGAUGAUGUGCUGGAUGAUGUGUGAGUGCUGGAUGAUGUGUGUGUGUGCUGGAUGAUGUGUGUGUGUGCUGGAUGAUGUGUGUGUGUGCUGGAUGAUGUGUGUGUGUGCUGGAUGAUGUGUGUGUGUGUGCUGGAUGAUGUGUGUGUGUGUGCUGGAUGAUGUGUGUGUGCUG